AACGAACGCUGGCGGCAGGCUUAACACAUGCAAGUCGAACGCAUCCUUCGGGGUGAGUGGCAGACGGGUGAGUAACGCGUGGGAACGUGCCCUUCAGUUCGGGAUAACCCAGGGAAACUUGGGCUAAUACCGGAUACGUGCGAGAGCAGAAAGAUUUAUCGCUGAAGGAUCGGCCCGCGUCUGAUUAGCUAGUUGGUGGGGUAAUGGCCCACCAAGGGGACGAUCAGUAGCUGGUCUGAGAGGAUGAUCAGCCACAUUGGGACUGAGACACGGCCCAAACUCCUACGGGAGGCAGCAGUGGGGAAUAUUGGACAAUGGGCGCAAGCCUGAUUCAGCCAUGCCGCGUGAGUGAUGAAGGCCUUAGGGUUGUAAAGCUCUUUCGUCCGGGACGAUAAUGACGGUACCGGAAGAAGAAGCCCCGGCUAACUUCGUGCCAGCCGCCGCGUAA
RNAcentral lists this ribosomal RNA (448 nucleotides) under uncultured bacterium. Its description in RNAcentral is "partial 16S ribosomal RNA". It matches the Rfam family "Bacterial small subunit ribosomal RNA", at positions 29 to 522 of the family's 1533-position model. The record is from RNAcentral.